UGUUAACAGUAAUUAUUAAAUAAUAUUAAAGAUGUUAAAGAAAAAAAAAAUAGAAUCCAGGUAUGAAAAUAGCGUGUUCGAUAGUACGGUGCCUGUCCCUUCUGAGCACGGAUGAUAUGACUUCGCUGCACGCCAUUCACUACCAGUCGCUGGCUAUACGUCCUGUUAAGCUAAAGUUCUAUUUACUUGGUUGACUUAGCUACAAACCCCAAGAGCUUGAACAAGAUUUCUCGACUAAUAGUAUACGUGUGACCGUAUAUUUCUUCUUCAUCAUAAUCGAUCGGAGCUUAUAUGUAAAGCUUGUUAAGCUACCUUGCGUGCCAUAGUGCCAGCGGAAUGCUGACGACUAGCAACUACCCUCGACGAUGUCGUAUGGGUGGAACAUCUACUUUUGGUGUCACUUCUCCUGGAAUUUUGUCUUCUCGAUCUAAAUUACUGGUGAGGUCUUAUUACAAACCAAGAAAUACUUCCAACUUUACUCAUAUUGAAAAUGCUCCAUUUGGAAGACCAAAAAGAUUCAAAAUUAGAAGAAUAAAUUCUUUCCAAAAGAUGGACACAACGAAGAAGAAAAUACCUGACUAUACUGAUACAGUGUACCGAGAAGCUGUUUCUAGAUUGAAAUGUUUACUAGCAGAAUCUUACACUUCAAGAAGCGGGAAAGUACUACGAGAUAGAAGUAUUUACAGACGUAGUAACACAAAAUUACAUGAAUCUGGAGACGAAACUGAUGAAAGAAGUAUAAGUGAAUGUUCCAAAGGAUUAUCAACAAAUUUAUUAUUACGAGAAAAUAUUUCUGAUAAGAAUCGUUUGCCUUUAACAUCGGCAUUGAUGACAGAUGAUUCUCAAAUCUCACCAAAAGAACUGUCAACUCUCAUCAUGCGUCAGGAAGAAUAUAUUGAACAGCUUGAAAGUGAAUCACAGUUUUGUAAAGACGAGUUGAAGAAUUUACUUGAAAAAAUUCGAGAAGUUGUUGCAGAAAAUGAAGCUUUGCAUGACAAAAAUAAAACAACUUUACUUAAAUCUUUCCUCAAUGAGUUUGAUAGUAAUAAAGACACAAAAAGAAUUGAUGGGACGAAACAUAUAAACCUACAUGAUGGAGAAUUUUCUUCUGGAAAGAAAAUAAAACUUCAUCAGGUUACUGAAGGUCCAAGUAUUAUUUUUGAAUCACGAAUUAGUGAAUUAGAAGCUCAGUUGACUCAAGCUAGAAUCGAAUUGAGAAAAGCUCAGGAAGAAAACCAAAAUUGUAUAAAAAAAAUGUCUGAAGGUGGUUCAAGUUCUUCAAGUCCUGAAACAAUGGCUCAGUUGGACCAACUAAUGAAAGAAAAGAGGGAACUCAAUUCCAAAUUAGAUGAAGCUUUGAGAAACCUAAAAAGUGUUCGAGAAAAAGAAAUGGAAGCUACACAGAAGGCAAAAAGAGCUCAGGAUUUAGCUCAGCAAGCAGAAUUUGAUAAAAGUCAACUGGAAUCUGAAAUCAGGAGACUCAAAGAUGAGUUAGAAAGACAACGAGAUAAGAUUCGAGAAGCUACUCAAGACACAAGUCGUCGUUUAGCUGAAGAAAGACAUCAAGUUGAACGUAGAUAUAGUCAACAAGUUGAACAAUUAACUGCUGAUAUUGCUACUCAUUGGGAUGCUGCCUCUAAAUCACAGUUAGAAAUAGAUAAACAGAGAAGAGAAAUUGCUGAUCUUAAAAGAGAGUUGAAUCAAAAGCAAGCGAUGAAUGAUGAUCUAAAAAAAGAAAUGCUUCUCAAAACAUCUAACUUGCAGAGUGAUAUAAAUCAAUUAGCAGCAGAAAAAGAUGCCGUGGAACAGGAAUUAGCAACCGUAAAAUUGGCAGCAGAGCGCAAUGAAAGACAUGCACGUCAGGAGCAAAGUCGUUGCCAAAUAGAAAUAAAUUCUUACAAGCAGCGAUUGGAAAGAGCUGAUGUGGAUAUAGUUCAUUGUCGCCGAGAGAAUCUUCGAUUAUCUGAGCAAAUAGCUUCUCUUGAGAAAGAGCUGAAUAUGGAGAAAAUAGCUCAUGCCAGUGAAGGCCAAACACCAGCAGCAACACCAAGAGUAGAAAAUGAAAAAGAUUUGACGUCAAUGAUAAUGGAGAUGGAAACAAAGCAUGAGAAAGCAGGUGAUGCGGCUGAUGGGUCAUUUAACUUGGCAACCACCCCUUCAAAAAAGAAGCGUACUGUAAAGGUUGAUCUUAAACUUAAAAUAAACCCAAAAAAGAAGUCAGUCAUUUUGAAAUCCGCUCAGGCACCUCUUUCAGCACAGCAAUAGUUUAUUGACAUGUUAUUUUAGACUGGAAGAAAUGGCCAGUUUACAAAACAACAUAGAAUUUUUGACGAAAAAAAUAAAAGAAACAUUUGAAAGUCAAAAAGGAAAAUCGCCAGGAACAGAAUCAUCGAUAGAACCAUCACCAAACCAAAAUGUCACAUCUCAUGG
Molecule: unclassified non-coding RNA, 2430 nt
Filed under: Chelonus insularis
Lineage: Eukaryota; Metazoa; Arthropoda; Insecta; Hymenoptera; Braconidae
Description: serologically defined colon cancer antigen 8 homolog, transcript variant X3
Source: RNAcentral